AUGAACGCUGGCGGCGUGCCUAAUACAUGCAAGUCGAGCGAACGGACGAGAAGCUUGCUUUUCUGAUGUUAGCGGCGGACGGGUGAGUAACACGUGGAUAACCUACCUAUAAGACUGGGAUAACUUCGGGAAACCGGAGCUAAUACCGGAUAAUAUUUUGAACCGCAUGGUUCAAAAGUGAAAGACGGUCUUGCUGUCACUUAUAGAUGGAUCCGCGCUGCAUUAGCUAGUUGGUAAGGUAACGGCUUACCAAGGCAACGAUGCAUAGCCGACCUGAGAGGGUGAUCGGCCACACUGGAACUGAGACACGGUCCAGACUCCUACGGGAGGCAGCAGUAGGGAAUCUUCCGCAAUGGGCGAAAGCCUGACGGAGCAACGCCGCGUGAGUGAUGAAGGUCUUCGGAUCGUAAAACUCUGUUAUUAGGGAAGAACAUAUGUGUAAGUAACUGUGAACAUCUUGACGGUACCUAAUCAGAAAGCCGCGGCUAACUACGUG
Molecule: ribosomal RNA, 496 nt
Filed under: uncultured bacterium
Lineage: Bacteria
Description: partial 16S ribosomal RNA
Rfam family: Bacterial small subunit ribosomal RNA
Source: RNAcentral